CUCCAUUCUUCAUUGGAAUAGGACCGUUGCAUCCCCAGUGCUUGAGAUUGAGCAGUGGUUCACACUGGGGGCGCUUCCACACCCCAGCCCCAACUCCACGUGGACAUCUGGCAAUGUUUGGAGACACUUUUGUCACAAUGUGGGGUGGCAGCCACUGGCAUCUGGUGGGUAGAGGCCAGGGAUGCUGCUCAACACCCCAAGGGGCACAGGACAGCCGCCCAGCAACCAAGAAUGACCUGGCCCAGGAGAAUACUGAGAAGAAGGAGAUCUGAACUGUAAAGUGUCCUUGGCAUAAGAAGACACUUCUCUCCCACCUAGC
Long non-coding RNA from Eptesicus fuscus (big brown bat), 319 nucleotides. RefSeq lists it as uncharacterized. The record is from RefSeq and is a predicted model, not a curated record. The transcript is spliced from 3 exons. Lineage: Eukaryota; Metazoa; Chordata; Mammalia; Chiroptera; Vespertilionidae.